GGUAAUGACAGUACAUCAGAGCUGAAGUGCAGGGCUACGGAAAACAUUCAGACUUCUUUUUUCCCAGCUGGAAUACACAAAGCUUUCUGAAAGGACCCUCUGGGUGGCAUUUCUCUAAUGAACAGUGAACUUGCUUUCCUAAGCUGUGUCAGAUUGUUACAAAGAAGACAAAGGAACUGUGCAUGCCUAGGAAGAAAGAAAAAUGAUGGAGGAAAAGAGCCCAUCUGCUUGUGGUUGUACUCCUCAAACCAGCUCAGCUGUGGUGUUGGGGAAAGAAAAUGUCGGGGGAGGGGGACCUGGAAGAGAUAGCAAGGAGUGCAGAGCAUUCCUGCUGCCUCCACAUGCAUGAGGAAGAGGUGGCCACACCUGGACCCAUCAUCCAGGUAAUGUGUCACAGGAGACCCCAAAUUACAGUUUAGCUCUUUAACCUGUGGCCAAAAAUGUAUGCU
Molecule: long non-coding RNA, 449 nt
Organism: Gallus gallus (chicken)
Lineage: Eukaryota; Metazoa; Chordata; Aves; Galliformes; Phasianidae
Source: Ensembl